UACAGAGGUCCCAAGCGUUGUUCGGAAUUACUGGGCGUAAAGCGCACGUAGGCGGACUGGAAAGUUGGGGGUGAAAUCCCAGGGCUCAACCCUGGAACUGCCUCCAAAACUAUCAGUCUAGAGUUCGAGAGAGGUGAGUGGAAUACCGAGUGUAGAGGUGAAAUUCGUAGAUAUUCGGAGGAACACCAGUGGCGAAGGCGGCUCACUGGCUCGAUACUGACGCUGAGGUGCGAAAGUGUGGGGAGCAAACAGG
Molecule: ribosomal RNA, 253 nt
Filed under: uncultured bacterium
Lineage: Bacteria
Description: partial 16S ribosomal RNA
Rfam family: Bacterial small subunit ribosomal RNA
Source: RNAcentral